Molecule: long non-coding RNA, 588 nt
Filed under: Anser brachyrhynchus (Pink-footed goose)
Lineage: Eukaryota; Metazoa; Chordata; Aves; Anseriformes; Anatidae
Description: lncRNA (ENSABRG00000000497.1)
Source: RNAcentral
GGGCAAGUAACUUGUGCCACUUUAAGAGUUAGAAAAAAGGAGUGUUUUUCAGGAUCUUUAGUUCUGCUACAGAGUCAUUGUAUCAUCUCAGCUAAUUAAUUUCACCUUUUAUAUGCUUCAGUAUUUCCAUCUGUGAAUGAACUAAUGACACCUACUUAAAGGCAGCAUUGUGAAGAUUAAUUAAUUGACAUUAUUGAAGUAUCCUGAGGUGGAAAUUCUGAUGUAAGUACAAAAUAUUGUUACUGAUACUUCCUAAUUAAUCAGCUCACAGUAGCCAGCAUGUGGUAAUCAUAUUGGUCUAGAGCAAACAAACAGAACUGGAUUAUAUUUGAAAUCUGUGGUUCACUCUCUCUCUCUCUCUCAUUUCUGUUUUUACAUGUUAAAGGAACAAUCUUAUGCACUGAGUGAACACUUAUGAAGUAUCUCACGAACACCGCAUGCACAAUGAAUAUGGUUUUGUAUCGAAGUAAAAGGUUACGAUUCUGAACCCCAAAUCGCAGAGGCCAGUUUUCAGCUGACAGUAGUUCAUGCUGUACGUCUGUUAUCAGUUCCUUUAUAGUACAGCUCUUAAUUACAGUGAUAACACAA